Molecule: long non-coding RNA, 1132 nt
Filed under: Homo sapiens (human)
Lineage: Eukaryota; Metazoa; Chordata; Mammalia; Primates; Hominidae
Description: non-protein coding lnc-CAPG-1:2
Source: RNAcentral
AGCCUGCAGGCCGCCGGCCACCCGGUGCUCCCUGGGCCUCGGGGUCUGCGCCCUGUCCCGCAGCUCCGCCUGGCCCCCUGGGGACCUGGAGUGCCUCUCCACCUCCCAUCGCCCCCCAAGCUCUCGCCCGCUGUCCUGUCUUCUCUGAGCGCCACUGUUCAGCUUUCCCUAGCUUUGACUCUAGACUGGAGCAUCAGAUCUAGUUGUUUCCCGGGGCCCACUGUCUCCCCUCCUCUAGACAACACCAAGCUCCCAAAAUCAGGCUCAUCACUCCCCCGGGAGCAAGGUACAGUAAGUAGGUGUUGGAGGAGUAGGUAAUGGACUCCAUUCUCCUCAUUUAAUAGGGUGUCAGAGACAGCACUGCGCCUCCCUCCCUUCCCCACUCCAACUCCCACAAAUCAAAACAAAAAUCAGCCACUCAGCCUGGCCUCGCUCGGCACAGAGCAUCUAAAAGUAAAAGCCCCAAUCUGGGGUAGAAACGGCUGGCCCUUUCUGCCCGGGCCUAGCUCCUGCAUCUCCAUAACUGCAGGCUAGUCUGCCCUGUGACACUUGAGAACCGUGGGGCCUCCCUCGUGCAGGACACCUCUGCUUCAUUUAGCAGAUUCAAUAAUUCAUUCAACAAAUGUUUAUUGAAUGUGAACUUGUGCAAGGUAGGCCAGUCCCUCUCAGGGUGCCCUAGGCCCACAAGUAGAUGUGAGAGGAUCCUUUGCUGUUCCAGCAGUGCCUGUGCUGUCCCCUGACUGGUCUAGGCCACCACGGUUCCUUCAUCCAGGACCUAGUGAACUGGGCAGACACCUGCAUUCCUGGAGGCCAGGAAGAGGGUGUCAGCCUUGGAGAGGCAACAGAGAGGGCAGUGGAAGGCUCUAGGUGAGCAUGGGGUGGGGUCUCCAGGACCCUUCCCUGGGCCUCCAGGCAGGCUUUCCCCAUUAAUGCUGCUUGUGGGCACUGGGAAAGGCUAGGGUGAGGAGGGGUGGGGAAGGAGAGAGGAAGACAGCCCAAGGUGGGGCGGGACAAGAAGCAAACUGGGGCCAAAGGCGGUGUGUACUUCGCUGUGGCCUCAAGGCUUGGUGGGGAAGAGCAGGCAGGUGAGUUCCCGGCUGCCGCUGUGUCUGUCCACAAGGGGCAGAGGGUG